RNAcentral lists this transfer RNA (87 nucleotides) under Bacteroidales bacterium. Its description in RNAcentral is "tRNA-Leu". It matches the Rfam family "tRNA". From Rfam's summary of the family: Transfer RNA (tRNA) molecules are approximately 80 nucleotides in length. Lineage: Bacteria; Pseudomonadati; Bacteroidota; Bacteroidia; Bacteroidales. The record is from RNAcentral.
GCCCAGAUGGUGGAAUUGGUAGACACGCCAGCUUGAGGGGCUGGUUCCCGUUAGGGUGUGCAAGUUCGAGUCUUGUUCUGGGCACUA